GUUACCCUACGGGGCGCAGCAGUGGGGAAUCUUCCGCAAUGGGCGAAAGCCUGACGGAGCAAUGCUGCGUGAGUGAAGAAGGCCUUCGGGUUGUAAAACUCUGUCCUUAUCGAAGAGAGGUGGGUAUGUGAAUAAUGUACCCAUAGGACGGUAGGUAAGGAGGAAGCCCCGGCUAACUACGUGCCAGCAGCCGCGGUAAUACGUAGGGGGCGAGCGUUGUCCGGAAUCACUGGGCGUAAAGGGCGCGUAGCCGGUU
This 256-nucleotide ribosomal RNA is filed under the name uncultured bacterium. RNAcentral's name for it is "partial 16S ribosomal RNA". It matches the Rfam family "Bacterial small subunit ribosomal RNA", at positions 333 to 580 of the family's 1533-position model. The record is from RNAcentral.